Molecule: non-coding RNA, 1648 nt
Organism: Paramisgurnus dabryanus
Lineage: Eukaryota; Metazoa; Chordata; Actinopteri; Cypriniformes; Cobitidae
Source: RefSeq, a predicted model, not a curated record
AUUGCAGGAGUAUGCAAAAGGAAAAGUAGACCUACAAAAGUGAUCACUGGGACGCUCCCCUUGAAAAAGUCAUAAAAUGCACCCAUUAGAUACAAAUGUGUACUUUUUGAAAGGAUAUCACUCUAGUGAUAGAUUUUGUACUUUUUUUUCUAAAAGUGUGAUAUAAGAUGAUACAGUAUAUUUAAAAGUGGACCAACACCUCAAAUAAAAAAGGUUAACUUGUUGUAGAACCUUGCAAAAUUUGACAAGCCAACCGAAUAAAAAAGCAGAAGUUUGUUAUGUAAGGACAGGUUUUCAUUACAUAUGAUAGUAUCAGAAUAAACAAUUAUUUAUAGAUUUAACCCAAUACAUUGUAUUAAAGCCCAGAUAUAACCCAAUGACAGAAUUCAGUCAUUCGAAUGUUCAUUUAUUCUUCAAUAUAAUGACAUGUAAAAUAAAUAAACAAAAAUUAUUUGAAUAUAAAAGUAUUAAAUGUUAAAGUACUAAAUCUCAAUUAUACAUUCAUUGUCACUCCAGAGCAUAUUAUUUGCAAAAGCAUUUUACCUCAAAAAUACUUUUAAAACAUGUUAAAGGCAAAACAUUGCUUCUCACAGUUUCUCAACAUUUCACAAAAGGAAGUGUUUCAAAGCUACUGGGGGAGCUUUGAGACCACACAACUCUGAAAACAAGCAAGCUGACAAGAUCUUUACAGUUUAACUUUUAUACUAGAUUCAUGUCUAAAUAACAUUGUAUAGGUAAUUGCAGUGCUGUUCAUAUUUGAAAACCUAUAAAAAGCCCAUUAACAGGAGAAGAUUUUCAUUUUAAAGAAUAUUUAAGAAACCAGUGAAAAAAUGGAAACCACAGAGACUGUUGCUGCCAGAAAAUCAUUCAUUGUGGUGAUUAACCUGAUUGGAUGGAUGGUGUUAAUAUCAGCUAUUGGAUUAGGAGUCAUCCAUUUGUAUGAGUGUCCUGCACAACCAAACCUUCCCAUCUAUCUGACUGUGACUGGUGUGAGUGGACUGCUUUCAUUGCUGCUGAUAUACAUAAUAAGGAACACUAGUGAUGGCCAAAUGAGGCUUCCUGAACCACUGAGGCUUUCCAGCCCAUUGGUUCGCCAAAAGGUUCAGUUACCCGAAGCCUCAUGAACAGUGUGCUCUCUAGUGACACCUGCUGUGGAAAGCAAUGUAUUGCACACAAAUCUAUUCAUUCUGAGCAACCAAAUUUUCAUGGUGUGGGCUUUAUCUAUUGCCUGUGUAUUAAAUAAAGUAUUUUACUCUGCUUGUGUUAACCUAUGUACACACAACUCGUACAAACACAACUUUGUGUUAAACUAUUCAGUAGUUCUUUGGGUUAUUGAUAACCGUGAAUGCCCCGAAUGAGUGUAAAUAAAUUAUUAUGAGUGCAGUGCUGACUGGGAAUGCAAUAGUGCAAUGCUUAUUGAACUGAGGGGUGCAAUAGUGCAAUGCUUAUGGGACUGGAAGUGUGAAACAGCAAACUGCAACACGGAAAAGUGUUUACUGGUUUUUAUUUAAAACAAAAGUUUUUUAACAGUAUUUGGAUUGAAGCGGUUUCUCUUUUUAGAAAGCUCCUCUCAAACCUUAGAAAACACCCUUUCACAGGGCACUGAUGAUGCUGGACAACAUAAGACGGUCAGUGCCAGCUUAUACAA